Molecule: ribosomal RNA, 2939 nt
Filed under: Priestia megaterium
Lineage: Bacteria; Bacillati; Bacillota; Bacilli; Caryophanales; Bacillaceae
Description: 23S ribosomal RNA
Rfam family: Bacterial large subunit ribosomal RNA
Source: RNAcentral
AUGGUUAAGUUAGAAAGGGCGCACGGUGAAUGCCUUGGCACUAGGAGCCGAUGAAGGACGGGACUAACACCGAUAUGCUUCGGGGAGCUGUAAGUGAGCUUUGAUCCGGAGAUUUCCGAAUGGGGAAACCCACUGUUCGUAAUGGAACAGUAUCUUUAUCUGAAUACAUAGGAUAUUGAAGGCAGACCCGGGGAACUGAAACAUCUAAGUACCCGGAGGAAGAGAAAGCAAAUGCGAUUUCCUGAGUAGCGGCGAGCGAAACGGAAUUAGCCCAAACCAAGAGGCUUGCCUCUUGGGGUUGUAGGACACUCUAUACGGAGUUACAAAGGAACGAAGUAAAUGAAGCGACCUGGAAAGGUCCGUCAAAGAAGGUAACAACCCUGUAGUUGAAACUUCGUUCCCUCUUGAGUGGAUCCUGAGUACGGCGGAACACGUGAAAUUCCGCCGGAAGCUGGGAGGACCAUCUCCCAAGGCUAAAUACUACCUAGUGACCGAUAGUGAACCAGUACCGUGAGGGAAAGGUGAAAAGCACCCCGGAAGGGGGAGUGAAAGAGAUCCUGAAACCGUGUGCCUACAAGUAGUCAGAGCCCGUUAAUGGGUGAUGGCGUGCCUUUGUAGAAUGAACCGGCGAGUUACGAUCCCAUGCAAGGUUAAGCUGAUAAGGCGGAGCCGUAGCGAAAGCGAGUCUGAAUAGGGCGUUUAGUAUGUGGUUGUAGACCCGAAACCAGGUGAUCUACCCAUGUCCAGGGUGAAGUUCAGGUAACACUGAAUGGAGGCCCGAACCCACGCACGUUGAAAAGUGCGGGGAUGAGGUGUGGGUAGCGGAGAAAUUCCAAUCGAACCUGGAGAUAGCUGGUUCUCUCCGAAAUAGCUUUAGGGCUAGCCUCAUGUUGUGAGAGUCUUGGAGGUAGAGCACUGAUUGGACUAGGGGCCCCCAACGGGUUACCGAAUUCAGUCAAACUCCGAAUGCCAAAGACUUAUCCAUGGGAGUCAGACUGCGAGUGAUAAGAUCCGUAGUCAAAAGGGAAACAGCCCAGACCACCAGCUAAGGUCCCCAAGUAUACGUUAAGUGGAAAAGGAUGUGGAGUUGCUUAGACAACCAGGAUGUUGGCUUAGAAGCAGCCACCAUUUAAAGAGUGCGUAAUAGCUCACUGGUCGAGUGACUCUGCGCCGAAAAUGUACCGGGGCUAAACGUAUCACCGAAGCUGUGGAUUGACAUCUUUGAUGUCAGUGGUAGGAGAGCGUUCUAAGUGCUGUGAAGUCAGACCGUAAGGACUGGUGGAGCGCUUAGAAGUGAGAAUGCCGGUAUGAGUAGCGAAAGACAAGUGAGAAUCUUGUCCACCGAAUGCCUAAGGUUUCCUGAGGAAGGCUCGUCCGCUCAGGGUUAGUCGGGACCUAAGCCGAGGCUGAAAAGCGUAGGCGAUGGCCAACAGGUUGAUAUUCCUGUACCACCUCCCCGCCGUUUGAGUAAUGGGGGGACGCAGUAGGAUAGGGUAAGCGCGCUGCUGGAUAUGCGCGUUCAAGCAGUUAGGCUGAUGAGUAGGCAAAUCCGCUCAUCAUAAAGGCUGAGCUGUGAUGACGAGGGAAUUAUAGUACCGAAGUUCCUGAUUCCACACUGCCAAGAAAAGCCUCUAGCGAGGCGGGAGGUGCCCGUACCGCAAACCGACACAGGUAGGCGAGGAGAGAAUCCUAAGGUGAUCGAGAGAACUCUCGUUAAGGAACUCGGCAAAAUGACCCCGUAACUUCGGGAGAAGGGGUGCUCUGGUAGGGUGUAUAGCCCGAGAGAGCCGCAGUGAAUAGGCCCAGGCGACUGUUUAGCAAAAACACAGGUCUCUGCGAAGCCGCAAGGCGAAGUAUAGGGGCUGACGCCUGCCCGGUGCUGGAAGGUUAAGAGGAGGGGUUAUCCUUUGGGAGAAGCUCUGAAUCGAAGCCCCAGUAAACGGCGGCCGUAACUAUAACGGUCCUAAGGUAGCGAAAUUCCUUGUCGGGUAAGUUCCGACCCGCACGAAAGGCGUAACGAUCUGGGCACUGUCUCAACGAGAGACUCGGUGAAAUUAUAGUACCUGUGAAGAUGCAGGUUACCCGCGACAGGACGGAAAGACCCCGUGGAGCUUUACUGUAGCCUGAUAUUGAAUUUUGGUACAGCUUGUACAGGAUAGGUAGGAGCCUGAGAAGCCGGAGCGCUAGCUUCGGUGGAGGCGUCGGUGGGAUACUACCCUGGCUGUAUUGAAAUUCUAACCCGCGGCCCUGAUCGGGCCGGGAGACAGUGUCAGGUGGGCAGUUUGACUGGGGCGGUCGCCUCCUAAAAUGUAACGGAGGCGCCCAAAGGUUCCCUCAGAAUGGUUGGAAAUCAUUCGUAGAGUGUAAAGGCACAAGGGAGCUUGACUGCGAGACCUACAAGUCGAGCAGGGACGAAAGUCGGGCUUAGUGAUCCGGUGGUUCCGCAUGGAAGGGCCAUCGCUCAACGGAUAAAAGCUACCCCGGGGAUAACAGGCUUAUCUCCCCCAAGAGUCCACAUCGACGGGGAGGUUUGGCACCUCGAUGUCGGCUCAUCGCAUCCUGGGGCUGUAGUCGGUCCCAAGGGUUGGGCUGUUCGCCCAUUAAAGCGGUACGCGAGCUGGGUUCAGAACGUCGUGAGACAGUUCGGUCCCUAUCCGUCGUGGGCGUAGGAAAUUUGAGAGGAGCUGUCCUUAGUACGAGAGGACCGGGAUGGACACACCGCUGGUGUACCAGUUGUCUUGCCAAAGGCAUCGCUGGGUAGCUAUGUGUGGACGGGAUAAGUGCUGAAAGCAUCUAAGCAUGAAGCCCCCCUCAAGAUGAGAUUUCCCAUAGCGCAAGCUAGUAAGAUCCCUGAAAGAUGAUCAGGUUGAUAGGUCAGAGGUGGAAGCGUGGCGACAUGUGUAGCUGACUGAUACUAAUCGAUCGAGGACUUAACCAAA